This 917-nucleotide ribosomal RNA is filed under the name uncultured bacterium. RNAcentral describes it as "bacterial SSU rRNA". It matches the Rfam family "Bacterial small subunit ribosomal RNA", at positions 8 to 916 of the family's 1533-position model. The record is from RNAcentral.
AGAGUUUGAUUCUGGCUCAGAUUGAGCGCUGGCGGCAUGCCUAACACAUGCAAGUCGAACGGUAACAGGACUAGCUUGCUAGUUGCUGACGAGUGGCGGACGGGUGAGUAAAGUAUAGGAACUUGCCUAAUAGUGGGGGACAACAUGUGGAAACGCAUGCUAAUACCGCAUACGCUCUACGGAGGAAAGCGGGGGAUCUUCGGACCUCGUGCUAUUAGAUAGGCCUAUAUAGGAUUAGCUAGUUGGUAAGGUAAUGGCUUACCAAGGCGACGAUCCUUAGCUGGUUUGAGAGAAUGAUCAGCCACACUGGGACUGAGACACGGCCCAGACUCCUACGGGAGGCAGCAGUGGGGAAUAUUGCACAAUGGGCGAAAGCCUGAUGCAGCAAUGCCGCGUGUGUGAAGAAGGCCUUCGGGUUGUAAAGCACUUUCAGACGUGAGGAAAAGUUAAGCUUUAAUACAGCUUAGCCCUGACGUUAACGUCAGAAGAUGCACCGGCUAACUCCGUGCCAGCAGCCGCGGUAAUACGGAGGGUGCAAGCGUUAAUCGGAAUUACUGGGCGUAAAGCGCGCGUAGGCGGUUAUUUAAGUCAGAUGUGAAAUCCCUGGGCUCAACCUAGGAACUGCAUUUGAUACUGGAUGGCUAGAGUAUGGUAGAGGUGAGUGGAAUUUCAGGUGUAGCGGUGAAAUGCGUAGAGAUCUGAAGGAACAUCAGUGGCGAAGGCGACUCACUGGGCCAUUACUGACGCUGAGGUGCGAAAGCGUGGGUAGCAAACAGGAUUAGAUACCCUGGUAGUCCACGCCCUAAACGAUGUCAACUAGGUGUAUGGAACUUUAUGUUCUGUGUAUCGAAGCUAACGCGAUAAGUUGACCGCCUGGGGAGUACGGCCGCAAGGCUAAAACUCAAAUGAAUUGACGG